This 478-nucleotide ribosomal RNA is filed under the name uncultured bacterium. RNAcentral describes it as "partial 16S ribosomal RNA". It matches the Rfam family "Bacterial small subunit ribosomal RNA", at positions 28 to 507 of the family's 1533-position model. The record is from RNAcentral.
GAUGAACGCUGGCGGCGUGCUUAACACAUGCAAGUCGAACGAGAAGUGGAGACGGAAACCUUCGGGCGGAAGACUUUAUUUCUAGUGGCGGACGGGUGAGUAACGCGUGGGUAACCUGCCUCAUACAGGGGGAUAACAGUUGGAAACGACUGUUAAUACCGCAUAAGACCACAGCACCGCAUGGUGCGGGGGUAAAAACUCCGGUGGUAUGAGAUGGACCCGCGUUCGAUUAGCCAGUUGGCGGGGUAACGGCCCACCAAAGCGACGAUCGAUAGCCGAUCUGAGAGGAUGACCGGCCACAUUGGGACUGAGACACGGCCCAAACUCCUACGGGAGGCAGCAGUGGGGAAUAUUGCACAAUGGGGGAAACCCUGAUGCAGCGACGCCGCGUGAGUGAAGAAGUAUUUCGGUAUGUAAAGCUCUAUCAGCAGGGAAGAAAAUGACGGUACCUGAGUAAGAAGCCCCGGCUAACUACGUG